Molecule: long non-coding RNA, 233 nt
Filed under: Lathyrus oleraceus (garden pea)
Lineage: Eukaryota; Viridiplantae; Streptophyta; Magnoliopsida; Fabales; Fabaceae
Description: Pisum sativum (pea) long non-coding RNA (PSAT_LNC002330)
Source: RNAcentral
CAUCAUCUCUCACCACCCUCAUCUUGUUAACUUAUAUUCAUUUCACAUUUUAUUCAUCAUAAAUACUUACUUCUCACAAACUACAUCACGGUACACUCCCUCUCUAGGUUCUCCUUGCUACUCUUCAUUCACCCUGAUCUUCAAACCAACUUAAACUCCUCCAAACAACCUCCAACUGGAACAACCCUUCAUAACUCGUGAACAAACACGACCAUGGCAUCGGUCCCUUUGCA